UAUAUACUACCUCCGUCCGGAAAUACUUGUCCUAGAGAUGAAUGUAUCUAGACUUAUUUUAAUUAUAGAUACUUCCAUUAUAUGCAUUUUUAGGACAAUUAUUUUCGGACGGAGGGAGUAUUAC
RNAcentral lists this microRNA precursor (124 nucleotides) under Hordeum vulgare. RNAcentral's name for it is "microRNA MIR1122". It matches the Rfam family "MIR1120/MIR1122 microRNA precursor family". Lineage: Eukaryota; Viridiplantae; Streptophyta; Magnoliopsida; Poales; Poaceae. The record is from RNAcentral.